CCCUGACCAGGGUCUGGGAUGGGGAGGAGCCUGUAACCAAGAUGUGUAAUUGCUCUGAUAGACUGCAGUGUACUGAGUUUGGAGAAGAUCAUUAUUGAAGACCUAGACCUUCUGGACAAGAUGCACACAGAUCACAAGUUCCUAUUCCACACAGUAGGUGGGUGAGAGCAGGGACCAUCUCCUGGUCGUUUUCAGCAGGUAAUCAAUCUGGC
This is a long non-coding RNA of Myotis davidii, 212 nucleotides long. RefSeq lists it as uncharacterized. The transcript is spliced from 3 exons. NCBI's taxonomy places the organism in Eukaryota, Metazoa, Chordata, Mammalia, Chiroptera, Vespertilionidae. The record is from RefSeq and is a predicted model, not a curated record.